CAUAUGCUUGUCUCAAAGAUUAAGCCAUGCAUGUCUAUGUUUAAACAAUCUAAACGUGAAACUGCGCAUGGCUCAUUACAACAGCGAUCACCUACUUGAUUUUCACACUCACUACAUGGAUAACCGUAGUAAUUCUAGAGCUAAUACAUGCGCAAAGUCCCGACUCUCGCGGGGAGGGAUGUAUUUAUUAGAUAAAAAACCAAUGCGGGGGCAACCCCGGUCAUUGCGGUGAUUCAUAAUAACUGGUCGGAUCGCAUGGCCUCGUGCCGGCGACAUAUCAUACGGAUCUCUGCCCUAUCAGCUUUCGACGGUAGUGUAGUGGACUACCGUGGCGUUAACGGGUGACGGAGAAUUAGGGUUCGAUUCCGGAGAGGGAGCCUGAGACACGGCUACCACAUCCAAGGAAGGCAGCAGGCGCGCAAAUUAUCCAAUCCUGACACAGGGAGGUAGUGACAAGAAAUAACAAUACCGGGCCUCUUUCGAGGUCUGGUAAUUGGAAUGAGUACGAUCUAAAACCCCUAACGAGGAUCCAUUGGAGGGCAAGUCUGGUGCCAGCAGCCACGGUAAUUCCAGCUCCAAUAGCGUAUAUUUCAGUUGCUGCAGUUAAAAAGCUCGUAGUUGGAUUUCUGCGUCAACGACACCUGGUCCGGUCGCGACUUCGCGUCCGACUGAGUACCGCGCGUGUCGUUCGCAUCCUUCUGUGGUGACGUGUCUACCCUUCACUGGGCCGGGCAUCGUCGCUCAGACCGUUUACUUUGAAAAAAUUAGAGUGUUUAAAGCAGGCGUCGCCGCUCUGAAUACAUUAGCAUGGAAUAAUAGGAUAGGACUUGGGUUCUAUUUUGUUGGUUUCUAGGACCGAAGUAAUGAUUGAUAGGGACAGUUGGGGGUGCUGGUAUUCAGCGGCCAGAGGUGAAAUUCUUGGAUUCGCUGAAGACCAACUUAUGCGAAAGCAUUCACCAGGGAUGUCUUCUUUAAUCAAGAACGAAAGUUGGGGGAUCGAAGACGAUCAGAUACCGUCGUAGUCUCAACCAUAAACUAUGCCGACUAGGGAUGGGUGGACGUUGCUUUCUCGACUCCAUCCGCACCUUAUGAGAAAUCACAAGUGUUUGGGUUCCGGGGGGAGUAUGGUCGCAAGGCUGAAACUUAAAGGAAUUGACGGAAGGGCACUACCAGGCGUGGAACUUGCGGCUUAAUUUGACUCAACACGGGAAAACUUACCAGGUCCAGACACAGUAAGGAUUGACAGAUUGAAGUUCUUUCUUGAUUCUAUGGGUGGUGGUGC
Molecule: ribosomal RNA, 1282 nt
Filed under: uncultured Cercozoa
Lineage: Eukaryota; Cercozoa
Description: SSU rRNA
Rfam family: Eukaryotic small subunit ribosomal RNA
Source: RNAcentral